RNAcentral lists this ribosomal RNA (259 nucleotides) under uncultured bacterium. RNAcentral's name for it is "partial 16S ribosomal RNA". It matches the Rfam family "Bacterial small subunit ribosomal RNA", at positions 15 to 266 of the family's 1533-position model. The record is from RNAcentral.
GAUCCUGGCUCAGGACGAACGCUGGCGGCGUGCCUAACACAUGCAAGUCGAACGAGGGUUUGGGAAAGCUUGCUUUCCGAAACCUAGUGGCGGACGGGUGAGUAACGCGUGAGUAACCUGCCUUUCAGAGGGGAAUAACGUUCUGAAAAGAACGCUAAUACCGCAUAACGUACAGUUACCGCAUGGUAGCAGUACCAAAGGAGCAAUCCGCUGAAAGAUGGACUCGCGUCCGAUUAGCUAGUUGGUGGGGUAAAGGCCU